This 377-nucleotide unclassified non-coding RNA is filed under the name uncultured Microbacteriaceae bacterium. Its description in RNAcentral is "contains 16S-23S intergenic spacer region". Lineage: Bacteria; Bacillati; Actinomycetota; Actinomycetes; Micrococcales; Microbacteriaceae. The record is from RNAcentral.
UCCGAGUUGACCCCGGCAGUCUCCUAUGAGUUCCCACCAUGAUGUGCUGGCAACAUAGAACGAGGGUUGCGCUCGUUGCGGGACUUAACCCAACAUCUCACGACACGAGCUGACGACAACCAUGCACCACCUGUACACCGACCUUGCGGGGCGACUAUCUCUAGCCGUUUCCGGUGUAUGUCAAGCCUUGGUAAGGUUCUUCGCGUUGCAUCGAAUUAAUCCGCAUGCUCCGCCGCUUGUGCGGGCCCCCGUCAAUUCCUUUGAGUUUUAGCCUUGCGGCCGUACUCCCCAGGCGGGGCGCUUAAUGCGUUAGCUGCGACACGGAAACCGUGGAAUGGUCCCCAUAUCUAGCGCCCAACGUUUACGGCGUGGACUAC